This 3105-nucleotide long non-coding RNA is filed under the name Felis catus (domestic cat). Its description in RNAcentral is "lncRNA (ENSFCAG00000053644.1)". The record is from RNAcentral. Lineage: Eukaryota; Metazoa; Chordata; Mammalia; Carnivora; Felidae.
CCCCUAAGCUCCUGCCUCAGUCAGAACAUGGAGCGAAGGAGGGACAGGGCCCAGUCUCCCAUAAGUCUGCCCUUCCUCCAACCAUUCCUUCCCACAGCGUCAAGAUUAGAAAAAUUUAACUAUAUGGUUCUUCCCCUGGCGCUGAACAGAGACCCCCCACCACAUCCAAAAAGGAAGUGGGGGAGGCAGAUGUGGAAAAAGGAAUUGCACUGAAGCCCCCUUCCAGUGAAGGGGUAAGGAUGCAGGAAGAGGUGGAGGGCUCUUGGAGAGACAUACAAGAAGCAGCCACUCACGUCCUGCCUGUCUAUCUCUCCACAUCUCUGAAGGCUGCGGGACUACACCAGAUGUCUCCUAAAGCAAAAUGAGUGGCCACUCGUCCUGAGUCACAGACUUCAGCACGCUCUUCUUGAAGCUGUCCUGGGCAUCUCCCGUAUCAAAACCUCAUACUAGAUGAAACAGACUUUCUCACAGUUAAAGAUGAUGUCCAUCUCGCACAUGCUGGGCAAGUAUUCGUCCAGGAGCUCACCACCUCGGUGAGUCAGCUCCAGCAUGAGGAGCUCAUUGUCCCGGCGCUCAAAGGCGCAGCAGAGGUAGAGGCUGGCAUAUCUUUUAUAGACGAUUUUAAGGUCCGUUCUCUCCAGGAAGCCGCACACCAUGAGCUUGCAAGCCAGAACGACCGUGUAAGUUCUCAAGCCACCUUAUUUCGUUGUUUGUCUGACAAGGCCAUGUACCACUGUAGCAGCCGCAACUCCUCCAGCCCGCCGAACAGUUUCAAGAAUCCCAUUAACUUGCAGCCGGCUGCUCUGCAUGUCCCUCUUCAGCCACCGUAGGCGCUCAAUCGUCUCCACCUCUUUUUUUUUCUUCCUGGCGUGAAGCCGUGUCUGUGCCAGAAACUUUGUUCGAAGCCUCCUACGUGUGCGGGGGAGUUUCCAAGACGUCGGGUUGAAAGCAGUGAAAGGAAGAAGAGAGGAAUGGUUUUUAUCCAUGCUUAAUUCUCUGUGUAUUGCUGGGGUAGUGUUGGCACGCAAUAAGGAAUCCCCAUGGAGAUUUUCAGGAAUUGAUGGUCAAGGUCAUGUGGACCAGAAGCUCCUUUCUCUCAGGAGAGUCAUCUUCCAGGGACCACCUUGCAACUGCCAUCAGGAGAAAGCCGCCAUAACCCCAAAGCCCCUGCUGACUUCGAAACCACUCACUACCUACCAUGAUCCACCAGUACAGUAUGAAUGCUUUCACCCAGCCUGUUGAAAUCCUAAAAAUUGCAUUUGGACACUGGAUCCUCUGGCAGAGUUACCGAGGGAAAAAAGCCUCUAUGGCUGGGUUAGCCAGAAAAAAAAUAUAGAAAUAGCAAAAUCAACCCUCAUGAUACCUCCACUUUACUAAACGUUCCCAGAGUUAAGUAAAGGUACCCAACUCCAUAAACCAAAAUCACAGGUUAACAAUAGUAAAACAUAGGAAAUACAGAUUCUAACUUUCCUGACUCUGUAGAAGGCAUGUUGAAUAGAAUUUAAAUGCAAAUCAAAUGUAAGCAUUCUUUAAAAGUAGUUAUUCCUUAAAUUUGAUAGAUAUAUCACUUACAAUAUACUAGUUUUGUACAACCUAUUUAUAAGACAUUUGAUGACAGAGAAAGGAGUUGACUAAAAUGGAGACUACAAACUAUGUUAUGCUCAAGUACAUAUCAUAUUUUAGACCUGUUAUACAAACAUCAGAGUUAGUAGGGAUCAAAAUUAGUACGGCAAAUCAGAAACACUCAAGUGAUUCACAUUCACUUACAUUGGGUUUUACUUUCAGUAAGACACAUAAGCAGAAUACAGAUUAGAAAACAUAUUUUGCCUCCAAACUACUAAUUUGCAGACUCUUGUCAAGAGACAAAAGUACUAUCCUGAAAUACAACACUCUGGGUCCUAGUCCUGAAGCUGCCACUUUUAGAUUGUGGCAUUUAAUCCCACUACAACAGUAAUUUCGUCUGUAAAAUUAAUAGGUUUGAGCAGGAAAUCUCAUACAUUGUAUGUGAGAAGGUGAGUGAAAGAUGUUUUAUUUCAUAUAUACACCUGCAAAAAGCAAUCCUGAAGAGAUUUUAGUCCUAAAAGGAAAGAUUUGUAUAUAAUAGAAGAAAGAAUACAAUGCUUGGUUAUUUUUACUCAUUUUGCGCUUCUUAAGACUAAUUUAGUUUGGCACUGAAGGAAAUUAGUGUCAAACUCUAAGUCAGGAUUUAAAAGUUUAAAUCCAACCUGACAUCUGGACAGAAUGUUAGUUUUAGCUGAAGGGUAUAUCUUGUCUUAUUUUCAUUUUGAAUAUUAAUUUGUAAUAUAUUGCAUUCAAAAGAUAUUUGGAGGAAAAUGAUAUUUGGUAUAUUAAUGUUAUACAUAGGUGCCAAACCAGAGACUUGGGAAAAUAACUUUCAUAAAUGGAAUUGCAAAAAUUAUUUUCAUUUAUUUUUUAACACCUGUCCUAUUGACCACAGAUUCAAGCAUAACAUUAAGUGAUUUGACUAAAGCACUUCUUCAUUCAAAUAUAUCACACAUCAUUAAGGUUUGCUAAAUUAAAAAAAAAUGAAUUCAUUACUUAAAUAUUUUAGUUUACAUCUCCAGGUGUUUAUGUAAUGACUUAGAAUUAUGUUAAAUACUGCUCUCCAAAGUAUUCAUGUCAAAUUUUUCACUAACUUGUUCUGACUGCCAUGGAAAUUUGAGAAUUGGUUUCUGAAUAAUUUACUCUGCCCCCUAUAUGAUACUUUCUUUUUACUAUAAACUUAGCACCACUUAGUAUGGAGACUUACAAAAAAACAACUUAAAAUAUCAUUGUCAAUAUCUAAUAUAUUAGUAGGUGAGAAAGUUUGUGAACUUGAAUUCUCAUGAAGUUAUUCCCAAACCUGCAUUUUGUGCUUUUCCUUCAGUGAUUACUAUAAUUUUAGAAAAUUAUUUUUAUAGUCCUCCUUUAAAUAUUAUCACCAUUGCACUGGUAGCUCCUGGAAAACAGAGCAUGUUUUAUUACUGAUUUUCACUGUUGUGACUACUUAUGAUUAGAAGAAUACUUCUGGCAUUGUCUUUUUUUCAGUAAAUAUUUGUAGAAGGAAUGAAUAAAAGAAAUAAAAAGACAGAUGGAAAGGGAAGG